RNAcentral lists this ribosomal RNA (253 nucleotides) under uncultured bacterium. RNAcentral's name for it is "partial 16S ribosomal RNA". It matches the Rfam family "Bacterial small subunit ribosomal RNA", at positions 524 to 776 of the family's 1533-position model. The record is from RNAcentral.
UACGUAGGGUGCGAGCGUUAAUCGGAAUUACUGGGCGUAAAGCGUGCGCAGGCGGUUUUGUAAGCCAGAUGUGAAAUCCCCGGGCUUAACCUGGGAAUGGCAUUUGGGACUGCAAGGCUUGAGUGCGGCAGAGGAGACUGGAAUUCCUGGUGUAGCGGUGGAAUGCGCAGAUAUCAGGAGGAACACCGAUGGCGAAGGCAGAUCUCUGGGCCGUAACUGACGCUGAGGAGCGAAAGCGUGGGGAGCGAACAGG